GGGGGUAUAGCUCAGCGACAGAGCAUGUGCUUGGCGUGCACGGGGUCCUGGGUUCAAUACCCAGUGCCUCCG
This 72-nucleotide transfer RNA is filed under the name Camelus ferus (Wild Bactrian camel). It matches the Rfam family "tRNA". From Rfam's summary of the family: Transfer RNA (tRNA) molecules are approximately 80 nucleotides in length. Their secondary structure includes four short double-helical elements and three loops (D, anti-codon, and T loops). The record is from Rfam by way of RNAcentral. Lineage: Eukaryota; Metazoa; Chordata; Mammalia; Artiodactyla; Camelidae.